This 378-nucleotide unclassified non-coding RNA is filed under the name uncultured Pseudomonadota bacterium. RNAcentral's name for it is "uncultured proteobacterium contains 16S-23S intergenic spacer region". Lineage: Bacteria; Pseudomonadati; Pseudomonadota. The record is from RNAcentral.
UCCGGCUUGACGCCGGCAGUCUCCUUAGAGUGCCCAACUGAAUGGUGGCAACUAAGGACAAGGGUUGUGCUCGUUGCGGGACUUAACCCAACAUCUCACGACACGAGCUGACGACAGCCAUGCAGCACCUGGAUCCAGGUUCCCCAAAGGGGCACUCCUCCCUUUCGGGAGGAUUCCUGGCUUUUCUAGCCCGGGUAAGGUUCUGCGCGUUGCGUCGAAUUAAACCACAUGCUCCACCGCUUGUGCGGGCCCCCGUCAAUUCCUUUGAGUUUCAACCUUGCGACCGUACUCCCCAGGCGGAAUGCUUAAAGCGUUAGCUGCGCCACUAGUGAGUAAACCCACUAACGGCUGGCAUUCAUCGUUUACGGCGUGGACUAC